AAGGCUGAAUAUAACCAAUCAGGUGCUGGUGGCCCCCAAGCUCCUCCACUUGACCCAGUAGACAUGAAAGUUGAGGAAUUAUUAGGGGAGAAGAAUGCAACUGUGAUAGGUGUGAUUCAGAAUGAUCUCGGCUUUCAUACAUUGAGGAAGCUGCAGACCCAGCAACGGCAGGAAGACACUGAAGAGUUGGGAAAAGAACCACCCCAGCAACAGGUAGAGGAUGAUAGUGAACUCCCCCAGCUUCAUUGGCAAAGUGUCCAAGUCCAGCCCCAACCACAACAAUCUUCGCACAACCCCAGCACAAAGAACUCUUGGAGGAUGGGUCCUUUAUAGAAUGCACCAUAACUGAACCUGAAAUCUCUAAGGCCCAACCAAGUAUAUCAACACCAAAACUAAGAAAGUGUUCAAGUGUCAGUGCUGAGUAUGAACAAUACAAAGCUGAAAAACGCAAAUUGAAACUUGAAAAGGAAAAGCUUAAAAUUGAAAAAAGAAAAGUAAAAUUGUUAGCAUUGAAGCGAAACAUUGAACUUAAACAGAAGUUAAUAAUGGCUGAAAUUGAAUAUUACCAGUCUUUGACAGCAAAAAUAUGAAAAAUUAAUAAGUUAAUUGUAUAGGCUUCAUUUUUGGUACAGUAGAAAUUUAUGCUGAGGAAAUGAAAAUAUAUUAUUUUAUUUAUUAAGAUUUUACAGUAUACUGGAGUAUUAUUAACAAGAUUGGAUCUCAUGAAGAUUGUCCACCCCAGAGUACCCAACUGAACAUUGUCCACCCCAGCUGCUCUCUCAUGAAGAUUGUCCACCCCAGCCGCUCUCGGCAUCCAACACCAAAGUUUAGGUUAGGUUAGGGAAUGGUCGGGUCAGCUGAAGAUUGUCCACCCUAACAUGCUUGGGGUGGACAAUCUUCAUGAGAUUCACAAUAUUAUAUACUGUAGCAUGUAUGUAAAGGAAAAAAAUACAAAUUAUAUUAUUUUAUAAACUGUAUUUGUUUCAAUUCAUUUUAUCUUUCACUUUUGACUAUAAGGGGAAAAAAAAAUUGUUAGUAGAGAGAGAGCACUGCAACAGCAUUCACACUUUCAUGAUACCUCACUCAGCCACUGGUCUGCUGCAAUAUAAAUUAAUGUACAAAAAUUUAGUAGUUUAGAAAAUAAGACUGGCACCAAUCACAAAUAUAUAUGCACAGUACUGCAUCUCUGAUCAAGGGUAAUUAAGUACAGUACUGUACUGUACUUAAACAUUUAUUAAUUUAGUGAACAUAUAUUGUAAUAUAUACAGUAUACUGUAUUGUACAGUAUACAGUAUAGUACAUUCAGAAAAGCUGAUAAGGAUAAGUAGCACAUACCUGAAAUGAAGAUUGGCAAUAUAAUCUCGAAAUGGAUAUCCGUUACGGCCAGCUGGUCUACCAGGAUUACGAGGUAUCCCAGCUUCACCUGGCUCUUCUUCAUCUGCACCUACGUCCCCUUCAGCUGUAUCGUGGAACAGUUCAUCUUCCUCGUUGAUAGGCAGUGGAAUGUUAAACUGCUUGCACAUGUUGUGGAGCAGAGCACAGACAUAGACGAUUCUGCAUGUCUUCUCUGGGGACAAUCGUACUUCACCAUGAUGUACAUGGAACCGUCGCUUGAGCUGGCCAAUCCCCCUCUCUACUACACAACGUGUCUUCUUGUGUGCUCUGCAAGAAUUGUUAACCAUCAUAAGGUGAGGUAUUGCAGUAUAUACAGUAGCAUCUAUAAGCUCCAUAGUGUUAAAGAGGAAAUCUGUACUGAAGAGGAAUUCUAUACUGUAUUGGUAUUUUGGUUGUUAUCACAUUAAGUAAUGACUACUACCUAGACUGGAGAGGACAAUACCUCCUUUAAAAUAAACUGUACUAUACAGCCUAAGAAACAUGAUUUUAACUUACGUGUUAUAGUUUGUCUGAACGCCAGCCAGAAGGUUUAGAUAAGGCGUCAGCAACCACUCCUUGCAAGGAUAACCACUGUCUCCUAGAAGGUAGGAUCCAGCUGGGACAUAGUUUUGUUCAAAAAGUGCCUUCAAGCCAGACUCGUCCAAUAUCCUGGCAUCAUGUACUGAGCCAGGCCACCGUCCCAAAACAUCAAGUAUCAUGUACUUGGCAUCGAAUACGACUUGCACGUUGAUGCUGUGGUAUCGUUUUCUAUUUACAUAUAAAUGUUCAUCGACACUGGGAGCCACAAUUCUAAUGUGUGUGCCAUCUAUGGUACCCACAACACCGGGAAACCUAUAGUCUUCCAUGAACUCUUCUUGUUUCACUUGCACUUCUUGGCGAGUCAAUGGGAAUUUUACAAAUUGAGUUACAAUAUCUGAGUAAUGACACGGCUGAUUGUUGCUUGCGAGGUCCCAAAGUCGUCACUGCUGCACUGUUGCAUUUUACCCGUGGCCAAAUAUCUUAGGGUAAUUGCCACCUUCGUCUCAGGACUCAGUGGUCGAUUCCGUUCUGUUCCGGAUUGAAGUUUGUCCCUCACUAAAUCAGCCACUGUUAUUAUACCAGCACGGUUCAUCCUGAAGCGUUUGAUGAGUUCGUCGUCAUUGUACUCGUGGAAUACGUCCCGUCGCUGUCGAUACACUCGCUGUCGUCUUUGUAGUUGUUGUUGCUCCGCCAUCUUCUCUACUAAUAGGAAUUUGUUGCUCCGCCAUCUUCUCUACUAAUAGGAAUUUGUUAAGAGUUUAAUAGUCCUCCACAGCACUUUUACCUUAAUUAACAGUACUUUUAAGGCCCUAACAAGUUUUCUGUAUCCACUGUUAGUGCUUAACAGCUAAAUGUUAGCCUUAACAGGAAAUUGUUACCCUUAACAGCUAUUUGUUAGUGCUAACAAGUUUUUUGUAUACGGGCCCUGGCUAAUAAGUGGCGCAUAGUCCAUAACCCUCUCAAUGUUAACGUUGACUUUGCUGAAGACAUAAUAAAGGCAUGUUGUAUAUUACAUAACUAUGUAAGGUCAAGAGAUGGUUACAAGUACGACAACUUACCUGUAUUACAUUAAACCAGUAUUUUUUAGUAAAUGGUUUGUCAUUUGAAAGUACAGCGGAGGGAGGGGACGUCAGAAAUCGCUAUAGCCAUGAAAAAGAGAUGACAAAUGCCAAUUUUCUUAGAAAUAUAGGUAGGAAAACUCUUUCACAAGUUGAGCGUCGACUGUACAUGCUGCACAGACUAAAGUCCCUGAGGACACCGGCAGAAGAAUUGCUGGAGUGUGUAUCCCACCUUCAUCCUCCUUAAACUCAUGUUUGUCUCCCCAGCGUGGUCUUCUCUCAGCUCCACUCAACAACAGUAGCAGGAGAAUGUGCUAAAUAUGGCUUGCAGGAUCAUUGUUGGUCCUGCCUACACCAUCCAGGAAGACACCCUGACCACCGUAAAUCAGCCUAAGCUGUAUACCAGACACCAAGAAAAGGGGGGGCAUGCUGCAUCACCCACUCCUGCACUACUCGCUCUCCCUAUAACGCAGCUCGCCCGAUCCGUGCCCCCUAAAGACACAACGCACGGACCGAUACUGCCUUAGUGCGAUUCCCACCAGGGUCUAGUCUAGUCCUACGCCUCUCCCCU
Long non-coding RNA from Portunus trituberculatus (swimming crab), 3543 nucleotides. RefSeq lists it as uncharacterized. The record is from RefSeq and is a predicted model, not a curated record. Lineage: Eukaryota; Metazoa; Arthropoda; Malacostraca; Decapoda; Portunidae. The transcript is spliced from 3 exons.